This 401-nucleotide long non-coding RNA is filed under the name Panax ginseng (ginseng). RNAcentral describes it as "long non-coding RNA (PGIN_LNC008667)". Lineage: Eukaryota; Viridiplantae; Streptophyta; Magnoliopsida; Apiales; Araliaceae. The record is from RNAcentral.
CCUCCCAAUUUCAGCAAAAUUCAUCACCAUACAUUGUGUUAACGCAAAGAUCUUUCCACGCGCCUCAAUCACGUAAAAGCGUGUCCAAUCCUGCACAGUUCAACAGGUCAAUACCAGAAGCUUGACGGCAUAGACCGUCAAGGGAUAGCUUCGGCGUGAGAGUCAAUACAGGCAGAUACAAGGAUAACAAUGGAGGAUAAUAGCUCUAGUGCUUUGAUAAAAAGAAAUAUCAGUUACCUCGUUUAUGUUAUCUUCUGCUAUCAUAUACUACUUCCUUUUUUCUUGCAUGCAGUCGACCUGCCCUCACGUCAGCCUAGUGCACACAUCCCACCGAAUAAUCCCAUCACAGUUUACCGCCGACUAGGCUCUGUCCAAUCUUCAUUAAUGCAUUGCAGGAUAAU